UCCUAGCUUGCUAGGAUGGAUUAGUGGCGCACGGGUGAGUAAUAUAUAGUUAAUCUGCCCUACACAGAGGAACAACAGUUGGAAACGGCUGCUAAUACCUCAUACUCCUAUUUGACAUAAGUUAAAUAGGGAAAGUCUUUUCGGUGUAGGAUGAGACUAUAUCGUAUCAGCUAGUUGGUAAGGUAAUGGCUUACCAAGGCUAUGACGCGUAACUGGUCUGAGAGGAUGAUCAGUCACAUUGGAACUGAGACACGGUCCAAACUCCUACGGGAGGCAGCAGUAAGGAAUAUUGCGCAAUGGGGGAAACCCUGACGCAGCAACGCCGCGUGGAGGAUGACACUUUUCGGAGCGUAAACUCCUUUUAUCAGGAAAGAAUAAUGACGGUACCUGAUGAAUAAGCACCGGCUAACUCCGUGCCAGCAGCCGCGGUAAUACGGGGGGUGCAAGCGUUACUCGGAAUCACUGGGCGUAAAGGACGCGUAGGCGGAUUAUCAAGUCUUUUGUGAAAUCUAGUGGCUUAACCACUAAACUGCUUAGGAAACUGAUAGUCUAGAGUAGGGGAGAGGUAGAUGGAAUUCUUGGUGUAGGGGUAAAAUCCGUAGAGAUCAAGAAGAAUACCCAUUGCGAAAGCGAUCUGCUGGAACCUAACUGACGCUGAGGCGUGAAAGCGUGGGUAGCAAACAGGAUUAGAUACCCUGGUAGUCCACGCCCUAAACGAUGUAUACUAGUUGUUGCUUUGCUAGUCAAGGCAGUAAUGCAGCUACGCAUUAAGUAUACCGCCUGGGGAGUACGUCGCAAGAUUA
RNAcentral lists this ribosomal RNA (803 nucleotides) under uncultured Campylobacterota bacterium. RNAcentral's name for it is "bacterial SSU rRNA". It matches the Rfam family "Bacterial small subunit ribosomal RNA", at positions 73 to 896 of the family's 1533-position model. Lineage: Bacteria; Pseudomonadati; Campylobacterota. The record is from RNAcentral.